GCGGCAGUAGCUCAGUGGUAGAGCCUCCGACUCGCAUUCGUGGAGACCUGGGUUCGAUUCCCGGCUGCUUCU
Molecule: transfer RNA, 72 nt
Filed under: Toxocara canis (dog roundworm)
Lineage: Eukaryota; Metazoa; Nematoda; Chromadorea; Rhabditida; Toxocaridae
Rfam family: tRNA
About the family: Transfer RNA (tRNA) molecules are approximately 80 nucleotides in length. Their secondary structure includes four short double-helical elements and three loops (D, anti-codon, and T loops).
Source: Rfam by way of RNAcentral